CGGACCUUUGAAAAGAGGGGGGAAAGGCCUUCUGAUGACAGGGCCGAAGGGCCAGCCUUUCCCGGCUGCAGCCCGCCGCCCCCGACCCCUCGUCCCACCACCGUCCUUCUCCCCCGCUGGGUUCCCGGCUCACCGCGUCGGAUGAAACUGGACACGGAGAGGGUCGGUCAGAGCCGGGCAGAGCGCGGCAGGCCCAGCGAGCUGUCACGUUCAGGAGCGCUUACCCCGCCUCGGGACCGGGCGGCAGCGGUGGCAGAGAUGUCGCUCCUCCGGUCUGAGACCAGGUGCCCCCUGCAGCAACUAUUUAUAUGAUCCUGACCCCCAGAGAAUCAGCUGUACUGAGGCCACUGCGGAGGCAGCCUAUCAGAAAAGUCUUUCGUGUCAAACGUUGGGGGAAAUGGAAAAGGAUGUGACAAGGAGCAAGCGUGACUCAGACACUGUGCCCAGGCGAUGGCACUGCGUCUCUGACUUGGCAGGUUCAGGGUCACCUGUGGGAAGGUUUUCCACGGGGCAGCUGGGAAGCAUAGCCUGUGUGUGAGCUGCCUGAAGAGCAGGAGGCCAGAGCAUAAACCCAGUGGACAAGCAGCAUGGGAUCAAUUGGGAAAAGACAACUGAACUUCUGAGUCCGAAGGGCUGGGUUCCAGUCUUGGCCAAACCUCCUCCUGAUGAUUAUGGAAAAGCCAUGAUAUAUCUUCCGAUGGGACAGUGACACCUGUGACAAUGUACAGGAAGAAGGCAGGGCUUCCCUUGUGGCUCAGAGGUUACAAAUCCGCCUGCCAACCCAGGAGACAUGGAUUCAACCCCUGGUCCAAGAAGAUCCCACGUGUCUCAGAGCACCUAAGCCUGUGUGCCGCAACUGUUGAGCCUGCGCUCUAGAGCCUGGGAGCCUCAACUACUGAGCCCGUGUGUCCCAACUACGGAAGCCACACACUCUAGAGCCCGUGCUCCGAAACAAGAGAAGCCAGCACAAUGAGAAGUCUGUGCACGGCAACGAAGAGUAGCCCCCACUUGCCACAACUAGAGAAAAGUCAGAGCAGCGACGAAGACCCAGCACAGCCAAAAAUAAAUAAAUAAAAUAAAACUUUUAAAAAGAAAGC
Molecule: long non-coding RNA, 1097 nt
Filed under: Bos indicus x Bos taurus (hybrid cattle)
Lineage: Eukaryota; Metazoa; Chordata; Mammalia; Artiodactyla; Bovidae
Description: lncRNA (ENSBIXG00005008013.1)
Source: RNAcentral